RNAcentral lists this ribosomal RNA (271 nucleotides) under uncultured Eubacteriales bacterium. RNAcentral's name for it is "uncultured Clostridiales bacterium partial 16S ribosomal RNA". It matches the Rfam family "Bacterial small subunit ribosomal RNA", at positions 76 to 339 of the family's 1533-position model. The record is from RNAcentral. Lineage: Bacteria; Bacillati; Bacillota; Clostridia; Eubacteriales.
UUCGGAUGGAAUUGAUAAGUUCUAGCGGCGGACGGGUGAGUAACGCGUGAGCAACCUGCCCUCCACAGGGGGAUAACGCACCGAAAGGUGCACUAAUACCGCAUAAGACCACGUUUCUGACAUGGGAAUGAAGUCAAAGGAGCAAUCCGGUGGAAGAUGGGCUCGCGUCUGAUUAGCUAGUUGGUGAGGUAACGGCCCACCAAGGCGACGAUCAGUAGCCGACCUGAGAGGGUGAUCGGCCACAUUGGAACUGAGAGACGGUCCAGACUCC